This 497-nucleotide ribosomal RNA is filed under the name uncultured bacterium. Its description in RNAcentral is "partial 16S ribosomal RNA". It matches the Rfam family "Bacterial small subunit ribosomal RNA", at positions 28 to 507 of the family's 1533-position model. The record is from RNAcentral.
GACGAACGCUGGCGGCGUGCCCAAUACAUGCAAGUUGAGCGCUGAAGGUUGGUACUUGUACCAACUGGAUGAGCAGCGAACGGGUGAGUAACGCGUGGGGAAUCUGCCUUUGAGCGGGGGACAACAUUUGGAAACGAAUGCUAAUACCGCAUAAAAACUUUAAACACAAGUUUUAAGUUUGAAAGAUGCAAUUGCAUCACUCAAAGAUGAUCCCGCGUUGUAUUAGCUAGUUGGUGAGGUAAAGGCUCACCAAGGCGAUGAUACAUAGCCGACCUGAGAGGGUGAUCGGCCACAUUGGGACUGAGACACGGCCCAAACUCCUACGGGAGGCAGCAGUAGGGAAUCUUCGGCAAUGGACGAAAGUCUGACCGAGCAACGCCGCGUGAGUGAAGAAGGUUUUCGGAUCGUAAAACUCUGUUGGUAGAGAAGAACGUUGGUGAGAGUGGAAAGCUCAUCAAGUGACGGUAACUACACAGAAAGGGACGGCUAACUACGUG